CUGAGCUUUCUUUCCUGUCAGGAGGGGAAAACAGAUAUGAAUGUCUGACAUUGAACAAGGGACACAAUGGCUUCUCUGUGCUGCCAGCAGCAACCUCUGUGUGGCUCUGUGGUCAGGAUGCUCAGCGUUGUGUGGACAGGCAGUGACAGGGUUUGGGGAGGGCCUCAAUUUCCAGAGGAACAGCUGAGGAGCAGGAGGAGAGAAGGCUUUGUGUCAGGCACAUGAAAUGAUGCCAGCUCAGGCCACCUCAGAAGAUGGGCUCUUCAAAAGCCAGAGGCUGUCAAUGGGAAGCCAAAGUCUGGGGUGGUUUGUGAAGAGACUGCCUUGGACCCAAUGGAGACAGGGCCAGUGAACAACCUACCAAGAAGGGACUGUUGAGUUGUGAAUCCACCACCAGUCACAGGGAGCCAUGAGCAGCAUGGCCUCUAGCCUGCCGUGUACCUGGAAGAGACACUGGACUAGGCUUUCCUGCUCCUAUAUCUAUUACUCGCUGGAUGGAGUAUGGCCUCAUGAAGGAAGUGUGGGCUUGAUCAAGGGGAUUGUCUUCAGGCAAGACAGCUUCGCAGAGCGAUGGCCAAGAGAGAUCUCUGGCAGCUGUGAGAACAAGCCUUAAUUCCUGAAAAGGAGCCUGGGCCUCAUGACAGAGAAUAACAGCGUGUCUGUGUGUGGGGUGUGAGCAGAGCGGGCAUGAGCUUUCGUCUGUUUUCUGUUGCUGCAAUUAGAUGCCUGAGGUUUAAAAAGAAGUCUGUUUAGUUCAUACUUCUGAAGCUAGAAAUCAGUUGACUCCAUCUGUUGAGCUUCUAAUAGCUCCCUCUAACCCCCUUCUGCAAUAUAACAUAGCAAGUGGCACACCCAGUGAUGGAGGCACGUAUAAGAUGGAGGGACCAUGAGACGAAGCAGGAAGCCAGGGACUGAGAAGGGGACUGUCUGGCAGCAUUCCACUCUUGUCGGGACUCACCAACGCUCCGUGGAACUAAAGGAAUUCCUUCCGAGGGUGUUGUGCCAGGGAUCAGGCAGUCUUCCAUUAGGCCUAGUUCUCAGCUCUUAGUGCUGUCACCCUGGAGACCGGGUCCCAGCAUGGUACCCUUUGGGGAUACACUGUAGCAGAAGGGUCAGAGAAAGGGAAGAAGGAAGAGGGAGAUGUCUAUAACAUGAGGUGGCACGAUGGUAGGACUAACAAGGUCGAUGCUUCAACUUUUUUCUUUUGCAAUAUUAUCUUUACCCAUUUUUAGUCAAUCUGAAGAUCACAUGUACAUAGAUAACUUUAAUAAAUUGCACAGUGUUAUACAAUUA
This is a long non-coding RNA of Mesocricetus auratus (golden hamster), 1293 nucleotides long. RefSeq lists it as uncharacterized. NCBI's taxonomy places the organism in Eukaryota, Metazoa, Chordata, Mammalia, Rodentia, Cricetidae. The record is from RefSeq and is a predicted model, not a curated record. The transcript is spliced from 2 exons.